GACGAACCACACGAGCGUUAUUCGGAAUUACUGGGCUUAAAGGGUGCGUAGGCUGCGCAGAAAGUUGGGUGUGAAAUCCCUCGGCUUAACCGGGGAACUGCGCCCAAAACUACUGUGCUCGAGGGAGACAGAGGUGAGCGGAACUUAGGGUGGAGCGGUGAAAUGCGUUGAUAUCCUAAGGAACACCCGUGGCGAAAGCGGCUCACUGGGUCUCUUCUGACGCUGAUGCACGAAAGCUAGGGGAGCGAACGGG
RNAcentral lists this ribosomal RNA (253 nucleotides) under uncultured bacterium. RNAcentral describes it as "partial 16S ribosomal RNA". It matches the Rfam family "Bacterial small subunit ribosomal RNA", at positions 524 to 776 of the family's 1533-position model. The record is from RNAcentral.